RNAcentral lists this unclassified non-coding RNA (784 nucleotides) under Hevea brasiliensis (rubber tree). Lineage: Eukaryota; Viridiplantae; Streptophyta; Magnoliopsida; Malpighiales; Euphorbiaceae. The record is from RNAcentral.
GUUAUGAUUGUUGCAUCUUUCUCCAUAAUGAGCUUUUGGCUUGGAUGGGUUGUUGGUUCAUGGCCAUUGUUUUGGGCUCUUUUUGUCAGUUUUGUUCUUGGAACAGCAUAUUCAAUCAAUUUGCCAUUAUUGAGAUGGAAAAGGUUUGCAUUUGUUGCAGCAAUGUGCAUCUUAGUUGUCCGGGCAGUGAUCGUUCAACUUGCCUUUUAUCUGCACAUGCAGACCCACGUGUACAGAAGACCUACUGUCUUUUCCAGGCCUCUGAUUUUUGCAACUGCAUUCAUGUGCUUAUUCUCUGUUGUUAUAGCAUUAUUCAAGGAUAUACCUGAUAUUGAAGGGGAUAAGAUAUUUGGUAUCCGAUCCUUUACAGUGCGCUUGGGCCAAGAACGGGUUUUCUGGACCUGUAUUUCUCUGCUUGAAAUAGCUUAUGGUGUUGCUAUUUUAGUUGGAGCAGCUUCUUCCCACACCUGGAGCAAGUGUAUCACGGUUCUGGGGCAUGCCAUAUUGGCUUUAAUACUGUGGGACCGUGCUAAAGCUGUUGAUCUCAAGAGCAAAGCUGCUAUAACUUCAUGUUACAUGUUUAUUUGGAAGCUGUUUUAUGCAGAAUACUUGCUCAUACCACUCGUAAGAUGAGCAUGCAAAGCAUUGUGGAGAGAAGGAAACUGCAGCCGUCUCUAAAAAUGGAGUAUUCUACUGAAACAUUAAUGCCUAGAAAGAGGAUACUAUGGUUUGCUUGCAAGUUCUGUAUGCCUAUCAUUUAUCUCGAACAAUUGUAAUGCUGGGG